Molecule: long non-coding RNA, 327 nt
Filed under: Olea europaea subsp. europaea
Lineage: Eukaryota; Viridiplantae; Streptophyta; Magnoliopsida; Lamiales; Oleaceae
Source: RNAcentral
AUUGGGAUAUUGAUUCCAUGGGACUAUGUCAUGGAAAACCCAUUGAGCCUUCUCAAAAUCUUUCUGAUAAUCCAAUAAUCCCAGAUGAAAUUAAUGAAAAUACUCCGAAUUCUUCAACUGAGAAAACUCCAAAAUUCCCAUUUUACAGUCCAAGUCCCUUUAAGAACUCACCUGCAAAUUAUAGCAUCACUUCUACUCCUCUCCGAUUGCUUAAGCGCCCAUUCCCUCCACCAUCACCAGCUAAACAUAUUAAGGCAUUUCUUGCAAGGAGACAUGGCUCGAUGAAGCCUAAUGAGGCCACUAUACCUCUUUUAUACUCCAUCUUUU